This 492-nucleotide ribosomal RNA is filed under the name uncultured bacterium. Its description in RNAcentral is "partial 16S ribosomal RNA". It matches the Rfam family "Bacterial small subunit ribosomal RNA", at positions 29 to 507 of the family's 1533-position model. The record is from RNAcentral.
AGUGAACGCUGGCGGUAGGCCUAACACAUGCAAGUCGAACGGCAGCACAGUAAGAGCUUGCUCUUACGGGUGGCGAGUGGCGGACGGGUGAGGAAUACAUCGGAAUCUACUUUUUCGUGGGGGAUAACGUAGGGAAACUUACGCUAAUACCGCAUACGACCUACGGGUGAAAGCAGGGGAUCUUCGGACCUUGCGCUAUUGAAUGAGCCGAUGUCGGAUUAGCUAGUUGGCGGGGUAAAGGCCCACCAAGGCGACGAUCCGUAGCUGGUCUGAGAGGAGGAUAAGCCACACUGGAACUGAGACACGGUCCAGACUCCUAAGGGAGGCAGCAGUGGGGAAUAUUGGACAAUGGGCGCAAGCCUGAUCCAGCCAUACCGAGUGGGUGAAGAAGGCCUUCGGGUUGUAAAGCCCUUUUGUUGGGAAAGAAACGCAGCAGGUUAAUACCCCGCUGUUCUGACGGUACCCAAAGAAUAAGCACCGGCUAACUUCGUG